This 650-nucleotide ribosomal RNA is filed under the name uncultured archaeon. RNAcentral's name for it is "bacterial SSU rRNA". It matches the Rfam family "Archaeal small subunit ribosomal RNA", at positions 1 to 658 of the family's 1478-position model. The record is from RNAcentral.
UUCCGGUUGAUCCCGCCGGACCUGACUGCUAUCGGAUUGAUACUAAGCCAUGCGAGUCAUUGUAGCAAUACAAGGCAGACGGCUCAGUAACGCGUAGUCAACCUAACCUAUGGACGGGAAUAACCUCGGGAAACUGAGAAUAAUGCCCGAUAGAACACUAUACCUGGAAUGGGUUGUGUUCCAAAUGAUUUAUCGCCGUAGGAUGGGACUGCGGCCUAUCAGUUUGUUGGUGAGGUAAUGGCCCACCAAGACUAUUACAGGUACGGGCUCUGAGAGGAGUAGCCCGGAGAUGGGUACUGAGACACGGACCCAGGCCCUAUGGGGCGCAGCAGGCGAGAAAACUUUGCAAUGUGCGAAAGCACGACAAGGUUAAUCCGAGUGAUUUGUGCUAAACGAAUCUUUUGUUAGUCCUAGAACCACUAACGAAUAAGGGGUGGGCAAGUUCUGGUGUCAGCCGCCGCGGUAAAACCAGCACCUCAAGUGGUCAGGAUGAUUAUUGGGCCUAAAGCAUCCGUAGCCGGCUCUGUAAGUUUUCGGUUAAAUCUGUACGCUUAACGUACAGGCUGCCGGGAAUACUGCAGAACUAGGGAGUGAGAGAGGUAGACGGCACUCGGUAGGAAGGUGUAAAAUCCUUUGAUCUAUUGAUGACC